UGCCCAGCAACUCCUAUCCCUACCUCCUCGUGGUACUGGCCGGGGUACGAGUAACCUUAGGGAAGAUCUGGUAACCAACCCCAGUGGGAACUUUGGUCGUAUGCUGACAGGGAAGG
Molecule: ribozyme, 116 nt
Filed under: Aedes aegypti (yellow fever mosquito)
Lineage: Eukaryota; Metazoa; Arthropoda; Insecta; Diptera; Culicidae
Description: drz-agam-1 ribozyme
Rfam family: drz-agam-1 ribozyme
Source: Rfam by way of RNAcentral